RNAcentral lists this ribosomal RNA (259 nucleotides) under uncultured bacterium. RNAcentral's name for it is "partial 16S ribosomal RNA". It matches the Rfam family "Bacterial small subunit ribosomal RNA", at positions 793 to 1055 of the family's 1533-position model. The record is from RNAcentral.
GUCCACGCCGUAAACGAUGGAUACUAGCUGUUGGGCGCAAGUUCAGUGGCUAAGCGAAAGUGAUAAGUAUCCCACCUGGGGAGUACGUUCGCAAGAAUGAAACUCAAAAGGAAUUGACGGGGGCCCGCACAAGCGGUGGAGCAUGUGGUUUAAUUCGAUGAUACGCGAGGAACCUUACCAAGGCUUAAAAUGUAGAUUGACCGAUUUUGGAAAACAGAUCUUUCGCAAGACAAUUUACAAGGUGCUGCAUGGUUGUCGU